GGUUACUGCUAUUGGAAUCCGAUUAAGCCAUGCGAGUCGAUCGGGUUUAGACCCGAGGCGCACUGCUCAGUAACACGUGGAGAAUCUGCCCUUAGGUGAGAGAUAACCUCGGGAAACUGAGAAUAAUAUCUCAUAAGUUAUGAAUGCUGGAACGCUUCAUAGCUGAAAGCUCUGGCGCCUAAGGAUGACUCUGCGGACUAUCAGGUAGUAGCCAGGGUAAUAACCUGACUAGCCUACGACGGAUACGGGGUGUGAGAGCACUAGCCCGGAGAUGGAUUCUGAGACACGAAUCCAGGCCCUACGGGGUGCAGCAGGCGCGAAACUUCCGCAAUGCUCGCAAGAGUGACGGAGGGAUUCCAAGUGCCUAUGCUAUGCGUAGGCUGUUCCCAUGUCUAAAUAACAUGGGGAGUAAGAGCUGGGUAAGACGGGUGCCAGCCACCGCGGUAAUACCUGCAGCUCAAGUGGUAACCGCUAUAUUGGGCCUAAAGCGUCCGUAGCCGGUUUAGUAAAUAUCUGGGUAAAUCGUGAGGCUUAACUUCACGAAUUUCGGAUAGACUGCUAGACUUGGGACCGGGGGAGGUCAGAGGUACUCCAGGGGUAGCGGUGAAAUGUUGUAAUCCUUGGAGGACCACCGGUAGCGAAGGCGUCUGACUAGAACGGAUCCGACGGUGAGGGACGAAGCCCUGGGGCGCAAACCGGAUUAGAUACCCGGGUAGUCCAGGGUGUAAACGAUGUGGGCUUUGUAUUGGAGGUCCCACGUGGGUGUCCAGUGCAGGAGAGAAGUUGUUAAGCCCACCGCCUGGGAAGUACGGUCACAAGGCUGAAACUUAAAGGAAUUGGCGGGGGAGCACAGCAACGGGAGGAGCGUGCGGUUUA
This 876-nucleotide ribosomal RNA is filed under the name uncultured euryarchaeote. Its description in RNAcentral is "bacterial SSU rRNA". It matches the Rfam family "Archaeal small subunit ribosomal RNA", at positions 21 to 904 of the family's 1478-position model. Lineage: Archaea; Methanobacteriati; Methanobacteriota. The record is from RNAcentral.